RNAcentral lists this unclassified non-coding RNA (401 nucleotides) under Hevea brasiliensis (rubber tree). Lineage: Eukaryota; Viridiplantae; Streptophyta; Magnoliopsida; Malpighiales; Euphorbiaceae. The record is from RNAcentral.
AGUUUCUUUUUUUUCUUCUCUCUGCAGAAACAAAGAAUGGAAGACCCUGAAAGGCUUACAUCAUCUAACAGUCAAACAACCACGAUUAGCUCCGACUCUAUCCAUUCACCCGAAUUCGAAUUUUGGAUGGUCCGAAACCCAUCUUUUCCUCAACCCAAUCAGCUCUCUGCCGAUGAGCUCUUCUCCCAUGGCGUCCUACUCCCAUUAGACCUCCUUCAAAAUGAAACAAAUGUUAUUUCGCCUGAACCAUCCGGGUCGGGCCGACCCGAAACUGAAUCUGGGGUUGAGCCUUCUGCUGCGAUAGUCAACUCGUCCGGCGGAGGAGCUUCUUUCACCUCCUCGAAGCGAUGGAAGGAUAUAUUCAAGAAAACUGAGAAGAAAGAUAGUAAUGAGGAGAAUUG